RNAcentral lists this long non-coding RNA (1729 nucleotides) under Setaria viridis. Its description in RNAcentral is "long non-coding RNA (SVIR_LNC009317)". Lineage: Eukaryota; Viridiplantae; Streptophyta; Magnoliopsida; Poales; Poaceae. The record is from RNAcentral.
AGAAUCACAGAUUUUAGCCUUCGUGACUCACCCCCGGUUUUGAGGUCAAACCGGUCAAAUCCUCUUGCACGCCCCCCAAGCGUGACUCAUCCCCGAUUUUGAGGCCAAACCGGUCAAACCCACUUGCACGCCCUGCAAGGCAUGGCUCACCGAUGUCGACACGUGUUCGGCCUCCGCCAAGCCUUCGACGCCUCCAAGUCUUUUGCUCCCAGCUCCCAGGCCGCCUACUCAACUUGCCUACGUCUAGCUUGACUUGACCGACGCCGUCAUCAUCACCGUCCAUGUACUCUUGCUCUUCUGUGCACCAUGUGUACCGUCCAUGACUCUGCCCAGACUCCUCGGGUCCCUCGAUCCAAGCCUACUCGUGUCCACCCUUCACAGCCCUAGUACAUCGGCAUCAACCUUUCUCUUGACCUUCACCUCAUGUCGUCGACUGCCAUGUCGCAUCCUACACAUGCACAUCACAAGCCAAGAGACACAACACACAAGAUAUGUUUUAUACAAACACUGCAACACAACUCACACCUUCGGUUAGUCGUUAGCAUAAUCAAGUGCAUAUAUGGAAUAUGGACUCAACCGUUAAAUCCUCAAAUCAUCUAGUCAAUCACUCAUCACAAAUAGACCAAGUUACUUCUUAACUUGGUCUCUCAAUCUCCCCCUUGAUAAGUGCAUUGACAAAAGAUGAUUUGAAAGCAAAAGAGAACUCAUUCAAGUGCCCAAGAAACAAAUAGAACCAAACACAAGGCCACUUGAAAUGAGAAGGGAUCAUGCAAGCUUGGAACAAAAAUUCUAGGUUGCAACAAAGCCAUUUGUCAAUUUCCCCCUUAAUGAAUCCCACAAGACAACCAAAAAGUUAGGCGAUAGACUAAAGAGCUUCAUGAAUCCCAAAAUGCCGUCAAAGCCAUUUCAACAGUUGUCAAAUACUCAUCACAAUUAACUCAAGGUUCAUAUCAACUUGAUUUUCACAAUCUCCCCCUUGAUGAGUGUGUUGACAACAUUCAAGCACAAAGAAAUGGUUUGAGAGGCAAAAGUCAUAUCUCAUCCAAGUGAUUGAAAGCUAAGUAAAAACUGAGAUCAAAGUCACUUGAGAUGAGAAGAACCAUAAAAGCCAAGUUGUGAAACCAAUUAGGCAAAACUCUCAUCCAAGUGAUUGAAAGCCAUGUGAAGGCAAAUAUUAAAGUCACUUGGUAUGAGAAACAUCACAAAGGUAAAAUCAACUUGGAAAAGUCUCAGUCCCCAAAGACAUGGGCAAUGGCUCGACACAACCAAGACAAAAACAUAUGAUCUCUCAAGAAGAGGCACAAAAGGCUCAACACCAAUCAUGUGAAGAUCGAAAACACAUGAUCUCUCAAGAAAAGGCAGAAAAGGGCUCAACACCAAUCAUGUGAUGAUUGAAAGCUCAAACCAAAUACCGGCUCCUGAAGAAGAGGUAAAAAGCUCAACAUGACCGAUAAAAGAGCAAAAGAGAGCACAAAACUAGCACAAAGCUUAGAAGCUGCCACUAAACACAAGCAACAUAGCAAAAGAGCACACAAAGCUCACAGGCUCCCCCUAAACACAUGUACUCCCCUUAAAAACAUGCCACAAUGAAAUGCAUGCACAAGAGCAAAAUAAUGCAUGCUCCCCCUCAAAUGCAAAACUCCCACUUAAAUGCAAGACUCCCCCUUAAAUACAAACAUCAAGAUUCACAUGGGAGAACAAAAUGUAUAUAAGGAGAUGCAGAACCUAC